GAUGAACGCUGGCGGCGUGCUUAACACAUGCAAGUCGAACGAUGAAGCUCAGCUUGCUGGGUGGAUUAGUGGCGAACGGGUGAGUAACACGUGAGUAACCUGCCCUUAACUCUGGGAUAAGCCUGGGAAACUAGGUCUAAUACCGGAUAGGAGCGUCCACCGCAUGGUGGGUGUUGGAAAGAUUUAUCGGUUUUGGAUGGACUCGCGGCCUAUCAGCUUGUUGGUGAGGUAAUGGCUCACCAAGGCGACGACGGGUAGCCGGCCUGAGAGGGUGAACGGCCACACUGGGACUGAGACACGGCCCAGACUCCUACGGGAGGCAGCAGUGGGGAAUAUUGCACAAUGGGCGAAAGCCUGAUGCAGCGACGCCGCGUGAGGGAUGACGGCCUUCGGGUUGUAAACCUCUUUCAGUAGGGAAGAAGCGAAAGUGACGGUACCUGCAGAAGAAGCACCGGCUAACUACGUG
This 466-nucleotide ribosomal RNA is filed under the name uncultured bacterium. RNAcentral's name for it is "partial 16S ribosomal RNA". It matches the Rfam family "Bacterial small subunit ribosomal RNA", at positions 28 to 507 of the family's 1533-position model. The record is from RNAcentral.